Molecule: unclassified non-coding RNA, 1153 nt
Filed under: Hevea brasiliensis (rubber tree)
Lineage: Eukaryota; Viridiplantae; Streptophyta; Magnoliopsida; Malpighiales; Euphorbiaceae
Source: RNAcentral
UGGACCAGGUAUCGCCGUCGAGAAACUCCGUGGUCGGCGCAAACUGGAAGCCGCAAAUCGCGCAACAUUCCACAUUUUGUGCCCUAAAAUCGAAGAUCUUACCAAACGACAAAAUGAAACAGAACUCAAAAAUCCACUUCACAAUCACAGCAUCUUAAACCACAGUGACUGUUCUUGAAGACAGAAAUCAAAGAGUGAAGUGAUAAACUGUGUAAAAGCAAGUCCACGCUUGGAUUUUAUUUAUUUAUUUUUUAAUUUUUACCUUAAAAGUAGUUAAAAAAUUAAUUGGAUAAGUUAAUUGAAGUUUUUAAUCAGUUCAAACUUCAAUCCAACUAAAUGUCAAUAAAAAUCAUCUUAAAAAAUUAAUUGGAUGAACUUAUUGGGCCUGUUUUAUAGGUGUAUAGUUUAAUUUGAGCUGCAUAUUUUAUGAUUGGACAUAUAUAUGUUGUUGUGAACUCGAGUAUGGGUUUUGUACGAAACUAUGUGCCUCCAUGUUUGACAUAGGUGUAUUGAAUAUUUCUUUUGUAAUGUUUCCUUGUAAUUUGAACAUAGUUACCUUUGAUAUAUUAUAUGCAUAAGUAUGUUAGGAUAAAAAAGAGUAGUGGCAGAGACAAACUAAUAUCUUUAGUUGGCACAUUCUACAGAGUGUUCUAUGGUUGCACUCCAUCUUGGAUGUCAAGUUUAGAAACAUUUCAAGCAGUGUUAUCAAGGCGAAAGACGACACUAAGGCGGUAGAGUACUCUAUGGCUUUAGGGGUGAGGCGAGAGGCGAGGCGAGAGCCUUUUUGAAGUAAGGCGCCAUAGCCUACAAUGGAAGAAAUAAAUAUUAUUAGUAUUAUAACUUCACUUAAUUAGGCAAUGCAAAAUUGCAAAUAAAUUUCAUCACUCUUUCUAUGCAAAUAAACAUGUCAAGCUCAUUAUAUCACAAUACCCAUCUAACAGAAAAAGAAACAACAAAUUAAAAAGAGAAAAAGAAAGUGCUGCUGUCUGCUGGAUUAAAGAUGGCGUGAGAGAAUAAGAGAAGUAGAGAGGAGGAGAGAAGAGAAGAAAAAACUAAAAAGAAUGCUGUUGUAAAAGAUGGUGUGACUCAGAUGAGAGAAGAAGAGAAGGAGGAGGAGAGAAGAGAAUAACAGAAGAGGAGAGGAGAGAUAAGA